UAACACGUAGGGUGCAAGCGUUAUCCGGAUUUACUGGGCGUAAAGCGCGCGCAGGCGGCAUCGUAAGUUGGACGUGAAAUCUUUCGGCUUAACCGGGAGGCGCCGUUCAAAACUACGAUGCUCGAGGGCAGAAGAGGGGAGUGGAAUUCCCGGUGUAGUGGUAAAAUGCUUAGAUAUCGGGAGGAACACCAGUGGCGAAGGCGACUCCCUGGUCUGCACCUGACGCUGAGGCGCGAAAGCGUGGGGAGCGAACGGG
RNAcentral lists this ribosomal RNA (256 nucleotides) under uncultured bacterium. Its description in RNAcentral is "partial 16S ribosomal RNA". It matches the Rfam family "Bacterial small subunit ribosomal RNA", at positions 521 to 776 of the family's 1533-position model. The record is from RNAcentral.